This is a long non-coding RNA of Stomoxys calcitrans (stable fly), 1091 nucleotides long. RefSeq lists it as uncharacterized. The transcript is spliced from 3 exons. The record is from RefSeq and is a predicted model, not a curated record. Lineage: Eukaryota; Metazoa; Arthropoda; Insecta; Diptera; Muscidae.
AACAAAGAGAUUGUCGUGUUUUAAACCAAUUCGUUUUCUAAAAUCACUAUUGCCGGUGACGGCAGAUUCUUUAUCAGUUUUUGGUGCCAAACAUUUGUACGUCCCAACGGGGAUGUACAUAUGGUUUUCAGCAAAUUGGCAGAUCUACAAUCUGUGAGUUAUGCAAGGUUAAAAACACUGACCUUAUGAUUUCGAUUAGUCUUUGCAACGAAAUGCAUGAUAUCAUCAUUGGGUGAUACUACACAUGGGCAAUUCCAUUGUAACGGGUGUUACAUUUGUACUGAAAUAUACGAAUAUAUCCUCUGAACAAAUAUCUGAAAAAUUGUCACUUUAAAUGAUCUUUGUGCAGUUUUAUUUCCUUUAAGGAUCCUUCAACCUUGCCAGUAUUGAAAGUGAAACGGCCAUCAAAACUAACGUAACGGGCGUGGCCGUUAUAUUUUGCGAAAUUUGCAGGUCAUUCAUCAAUCUAUUGAUUGGCUAAUAAUGUGAACAUCAAAUGAUUGCAUGACCCUCCUGAUGUUUACAUAAGCUGUGUUCGGGAACUCAAAAAUCUGUGCAAAUUUGCAAAAUUUUUUACUGGAAGUCAUUCGCGUGCUUUAUUUGCCAGCAAAAGAGAGUGCGAGGGAGAGCAAAUAAAUUUUGACAGUUAGAAAAUAGAGAACCUGCAAAUUUCUCCUGGGACUUUUUUUGCCAGCAGAAAUUUGCAAUUUCGAACACAUGUUUUGUAAAGGUCAGCUGUUUUAUGAAAAACACCUGUUACAUAAAAAUAUAAAAGCUAACGCCAACCUUUUUGAUCUAAAAAGGCAGAUAUUCAUGGCAGCAGCUAGUGUUCAGGUACAGAAAACUUGACAAAUGAAGUUGUAAUUUUACCUCAAGUCGGGUAUUCUACAUUAGAAGACACCAGGAAAAGAGUAAUUAUCGGCUUCUUAAGUGUUUUGAUGGAAUCAUCCUCAUCGGAGAGACCUCAUCGAUGAAACCAACACAGUUCCUUUGAAUUUGUUAAGGAGGGAAGAUGCUGCCAUGGGAUUGAAUGGGUCUAGCUGGGCAGGUAAUCAAGUGACGCACAGUGCACAUUAGUCUGCCAAUUGUGA